RNAcentral lists this long non-coding RNA (3889 nucleotides) under Mus musculus (house mouse). RNAcentral's name for it is "long non-coding RNA chr18:39372390-39376279". Lineage: Eukaryota; Metazoa; Chordata; Mammalia; Rodentia; Muridae. The record is from RNAcentral.
UCUCAGGCUCCUGGAAUUCCCUUAGGGUUCUUUAAUGAAGAGAAGAAAACUUGAAUUGUGUUGAAUUACUGUAUCUUCUGCUUUUUUUUUUUAAAGAUAAACUUGUAAAUAGAAUGAUUUGAAAUAUUAUAUGGUAAAGUUUUAUAUUUGAUAUUCUUUAAGCUAGUUUGCUCCAUACAUUUAGUAUUUUGAUUGCUGAACAGAUGUGUUUAAAAGGUUGCAAGAGAGGCCGGGCUAAAGAGUCAAGGUCAUGUCCCCUCUCUGGCCCAGUGAAAGAAUGUGUCCUCAAUGGUUCCUGUUGGUGAGCCUGGAAAGUUGGUUGCAUUCAGUUGUCUUUAUCUACAUGUGAUUUGGGGCUUUGGAGUUCAAAAGAGCAUCUUCAAGCAGUGAAUUUUCAAAGAACUCCCACCCAACAGUAAAGUGACACUCAGGAUCUCAGGAUUUAAAUAGGUGGGGUGAGGGCGACAUGUUUGUUUUUUGUUUGUGUGUUUGUUCUUCUCAGGUGUAUUUCUUGGUACCCCAGGAUGUCCAGACAAAAGGAGAUGAGCCAACACUCCUUUUUCCCCCACAUCUCCAAGCUAGUUUAUAAAUGUGUCUAUCAACUCUAAGAACUAAACAAGAAAGCCAGCUGCUGUGGUUCUUGGUCAUUGGUGAACUUUACUCUCUUCCUAUAGACGUGUUCCCGCACUUCCCCUUCACCUCCAAAGUCCCGGCAGCCCCAAAGUAAAAAAGAAUCCCCAAGAUGACACUGUUACAGUUUUUAGAGGUGCUGUAAUGUUAAUAGUUCAUUGUCGGGAUUCAGUAUUGAGUUUACCAGCUCAGGAUUAUACUGUUGCCAACCAAGGACCCAGCCAGGAGCAAGGGAGACUUGAACUUUCAGUCAGGCAAACACAGGAUUCCAAACUGACAAUGCUGGGUGUGAUGGCUCAUGUGUGGUCUUAGCACUUGGAAGACAGAGACAAGAGGAUUGCUGAAGACUUACGCCAGCCAGAUGUGAGGCUGGAGGAGGGUUGCAAACGGAAGGAAGAAAGGCAGUACACUCAGGUUCCAGACCUAUUCCCUGUGAGCUUGAGAAAAGGUUGGGCAAUGGGGCCCGAAGGGCAUGCACACUCAAGUAGCAUUGCUCCUUCCAAAUUAAAAGAGCCCAGCAUGAUACUUUUAAUAUAUCUGAUGGUUUAAAUUGUCGCCUGCCCCAUAAUAAAUGAACUAUGCUUGUAGUCAGGGCCCAGCACGACUGCUUGGAUACAUAUUCUUUCUCUCCUGAGCUGGCCCUGGUUUGAAACUGCUCUCUUAGGCUGACCUCCUUCCAGUUUCCCUGAGGCCAUGUGUGGCCUAUGACAGAUGGUCGCUCUGUUUCCCUUUGUCCAGCUAGGCCUCCCUCCUAUUCCUCCUCCUCGUCCUCCUCAGGAAAAAGAACUGGAGAGAUUAAUAUGAGCCAAGUAGGAAGGAACUUGAAGAUUAAAAGUGUUAUGUGCCCUUUCUGCUCUCUGAACACCCCUGAGCUCCCCACAAAUAAGGAAAACUGGGGUAGAUCAUGAGGAAUGAGUUGAUAUCAGAAUGGAAGUUCAUUGACCAGAGUCCCAAAGAUUUCCCAGGAGCUUUGAGUUUCUCUUGUAAGACCCUGGGAUGGGUUGGUUAUGGUUUGAAUUUUGGAGCAUCAAGAUGGUUGGUCUUACUCUCUGAGAUAGAGAGUUCCAUAAUUGAACAGUGCCAUUCUGUGCUAUGAAAUGAGAAGAUAGCUGCUUUCACAUCUCUGCCCCCAAGCAAGGAAAAUGAGCUUGUUCAACACUGAUGAAAUUCUCUAUUUUUUCUUUUUUUAAAAUAAAUGUGUGUGACUGACCUCCAUUCAGUGGAUGCCUCAGUCUUUAGUAUUAGAGCCAGUUUGUAGUAUUUUUAAAGCCAUUAUGUGAAGUCUUGUGGAUGCUUUUUUUAAUUUUUUUUUUAAAUCAGAGAAGAAAUGAGAAGAGAGUACUUCCAACUGGGCACUGGUGAGCCAGAGCCAUGCUGGCUGGUUGGGAGUUACAGGCGCUCUAGACCUGAGUGUGCCACAUCUGGAUCUUAAGGGAAAUCCUUCUUAACUGCAUUCCCCCCCAACCCCCCCAGGACAGUAGCAAUCACACCAAAAGCUGCUUCAGUCAUAGAACUUCCAGAAGCAUCCAUUAUUGAGGCAGGGGGAAGUAGACUAAAGAGGGUGAGAUCAUCUGUUCUUGGCCGGCUAUAUCUGCUUCCUGUGACAAGGCUGUUUACCUAGCUUCAUAGCCAGCGAGCUUGGGGGUGCACCAGUGACCACACAUUUGCCCUGGCACCCACUGUUCUUAGUAGACAAGGGAACCAAGCGUCUGCUUAGCUACCUGUCUUUCAAAGGAAUGUUCUGGCUGUCUAGGAAGGGAGUUGUCUGCCAAUUCUGUCAAACUUGACAGUGAUCACUUACGUUGAUAGCCCUGUCCCAACAGCCCUUUAAUCAGUCAGGUGCCCCUCACUCCCCAUAGUAGUGCAUGAAAAAAUAUCUUUUGCAUUCAAAUAUUUCUGCACCCAUGCAGAUCUAGUGUUUGUCUGUGAAUGUAGUAUCAAAAUGACAACAGCAGAGAGCUGGGACUGAACCUUGGACAUGCCUCCAACAUGCUGAGACAAGACUCCACCAGGCGAUGACGGGCCUUCUUCCCUUUGCCGCCCACAGCACGUGUCUAACUUAAAGAGCCACCCUAAGUAGACAGAGAUUCCAGACGUCACUCGGAGGCAGCCCUGUACUCAUGGAAGGAAAGCAUAGAUAUAAAAACACCCGGAUCAGGAAGGAAAGGUGAGCCACCCUGAGAGCAAGAACUAAGCAUAGUCCUAACCCACAGAGGGAGGGCCAAGAACUAUCCUGUCAAAAUUCACAUUAGUGCAGUCAGUGGGGAGCAAGGUUGUGGUAACUCAGUGUCUGAGUGACCUGGAGUAGCUUCAGGCAGGCUGGCAUACUCUCUGCCAUCAUGCACUCACACAUGCAUACCUACCAUUCUUGCGGCUUCUGAGUAAACACCAACAAACAGCAUCCCCGGGGUUCAAGAUGCCCGAGUCAGCUUGGUGUCUGUGAAAGCAUACAUGUGGGGAUUCUAAAAUUUGUGUGUGCGUGUGUUGGUGUGUAUGUGUUCGUACAUAGCACAUACAAGCAUAAAGGUGCCGCCUCGGGUGUAGACACACACACACAAGCUGGCAUUUGUAAAGCUCUUACAGCCUUGAAGAUUUGGAGGGAAGAGUUUUCAGAGGAACUAGAGUCUGUCAGUUUCCUAGCAAAAGAUCAAAGCUACAAACGAGCUGUCAUCUGAAGCCUCUGUUCGUGUUUAUCACAUAGUUAUCCACAGCUGCGUUCCUUGGUGACUUAUUAAAAGUCAGGUUAAAAACUCAAACCCAUAAAUUUCCAGUAGCUAAUGCUAGGCUAGUGUUCAAAAGCACUCUAAAAGACAUUUAGUCCAUAUUUUGGGAAAGAAACUAUUUGCAUGUUUAAUUCAUCUUUUAGGCUGCUGUUGAGUAUACUGUAAAGUGCUGUGUGAUAUCAAGCCAGUAAAGUACUUAUAAAUGGCACUUUAAUAUUUUCUUUUGAGAAAUCAUAAAACACUGUUGUAAAUUUCACUAUUGAAUAUUGACUGGUACAUAGAAUCAAACUCUGUAAUUAAAAAGUAGCCUGCAGCUAGGAUAGAACAUUUUUCUUGUUAUUAGAGAAAAAAAAAAAGUUUGCCAUGUUCAGGCUUUUUAAAAAAAAAGUGUUUCUGUGCCAUUGUUCGUAUCUAUAAAGAAAAUACAAUUUCUGUCAGGCAUCUCUGAAACCUGGCUUUUUUUAUGUUUGGUUCGUGUCUGUGGCAAUCCCUAUAAAGUGAGUGGAAGUAUGAUUUUUGAAUUAAAUGACUUUCCC